RNAcentral lists this long non-coding RNA (726 nucleotides) under Homo sapiens (human). RNAcentral describes it as "long non-coding RNA NONHSAT179882.1". Lineage: Eukaryota; Metazoa; Chordata; Mammalia; Primates; Hominidae. The record is from RNAcentral.
GCUGUAUGUGACGGCCAUCGAGGACCGGCAGUACAAAGACUACAAGAUCCACUGGUGGGAGAACGUGUAUGGCUUCGACAUGUCUUGCAUCAAAGAUGUGGCCAUUAAGGAGCCCCUAGUGGAUGUCGUGGACCCCAAACAGCUGGUCACCAACGCCUGCCUCAUAAAGGAGGUGGACAUCUAUACCGUCAAGGUGGAAGACCUGACCUUCACCUCCCCGUUCUGCCUGCAAGUGAAGCGGAAUGACUACGUGCACGCCCUGGUGGCCUACUUCAACAUCGAGUUCACACGCUGCCACAAGAGGACCGGCUUCUCCACCAGCCCCGAGUCCCCGUACACGCACUGGAAGCAGACGGUGUUCUACAUGGAGGACUACCUGACCGUGAAGACGGGCGAGGAGAUCUUCGGCACCAUCGGCAUGCGGCCCAACGCCAAGAACAACCGGGACCUGGACUUCACCAUCGACCUGGACUUCAAGGGCCAGCUGUGCGAGCUGUCCUGCUCCACCGACUACCGGAUGCGCUGAGGCCCGGCUCUCCCGCCCUGCACGAGCCCAGGGGCUGAGCGUUCCUAGGCGGUUUCGGGGCUCCCCCUUCCUCUCCCUCCCUCCCGCAGAAGGGGGUUUUAGGGGCCUGGGCUGGGGGGAUGGGGAGGGCACAUCGUGACUGUGUUUUUCAUAACUUAUGUUUUUAUAUGGUUGCAUUUACGCCAAUAAAUCCUCAGCUG